Neogale vison (American mink) is the source of this 1205-nucleotide long non-coding RNA. RefSeq lists it as uncharacterized. The record is from RefSeq and is a predicted model, not a curated record. The transcript is spliced from 3 exons. NCBI's taxonomy places the organism in Eukaryota, Metazoa, Chordata, Mammalia, Carnivora, Mustelidae.
GCCGGGUGGUUCUGUGAGACCCCUCGAGGGAGGCUCCAGCUUCAAGUUCUAAGGCAAGCCGCUAUAGUGACUGCCCAAGACUGUGGGCAAGGUCCCUGCCCUGUGUUUUCUUCUUCUUCCCCCUGUAGUGACCCGUCCCAGCUCAAAUAGCCAGGAAGGAAAUGAGAGAGCAAGUACCUGGCUAGAAAGACAACAAUAAUAACUCACAUUUGCAUAGCAUUAUUUAGUUUGGAACACACUUUCGCCUCUAUUAUAUUAAUUGGUCUUUUACCUGUGUGAGGUAAUAAGUGUGCUGUCCUUUUGCCCAUUUAGACAGAUGAUAAAGCUGAGACUCAAAGGAUAAUGUGCUCCCAAGAGACAAAAUCGCAUCCCAAAUUCGGGGACAUUAAGACAUAAACCAUGUCCCAAAUUCUCUCCAAAUCAGCUCCUUCCUUCACCGCACAUCACUGAAUCCCAGAGACUACUGUCUCCCAUUCGUUUUGAAGCUGCUUUUUCUUACUUCCAGAUCCACCAGAUAAAGAAAGAAUAUAUCAACAAAGACGGGGAAAGACGAAAAUGGUUGUUCAGCGAUCCAUUCACGUACGUGUAGUUCAUCUCCAAGGCUUCCAAGAAAGCAGCUGCGCACCAAAUCCCUUCCGACGCUGUCUGUAUCUGAGCCUCCUGGGAGAUAAUCCUCUUAAUGGAAUAUUUAAGAAAUCGGAUAUAAAUCACCAACCUUUUAUCUCACCUGAAGAUCCGUCCUCCAUAGGGCGGAUGAUGGCGGAUGGCGCAUACGUCUAUCUACAUACGGAAAUUAAUGAGAAAAACGAACACAGCCUGGCAGAAAGCGGUUGUGUUGAACUUAUCAAUGACAGGCCCUGGGAGACAUUUGAGAGUUCCUUCGGGAUGCCUGAGGAAAGUUCUUCAAGAUGUUAGAAUUUUACUUUAGACAUCCUGGAAUGCAAAUCCAUCCUGAUUCCAAGAGCUUAUCAACACUCUGCCUGGUCCCGAUGGUUCUUCCCAUUGCCACAGGGUCAAGGUUACAAAGGAAAAGUGAGCUUUUGACUCAGAGGCCCAGGCCUAGGCCCAGAAGUGAGAGGACCAGAGUACAGCUCCUGCUGGGAGUCUGGCAAAGCAAAGCUGCAAGCCUUGUUGAGAAAUCGCACACGCGUGAUGUUUCGUACCUUUGAGUUUUACAGGUAAUACCUCUUCAAAAAUAAAAAUAA